UUGUCCGUUUCACCCUUCUUGUGUGAAGAGAAUAUCAGUUGAACCAGGUGGCUAUCUUGUUUGCACCAUUUGAAGAUUGAAGGUCGAUCCUAGAAAUUUCCUAUUCGUUGAGUCCUAUUUGAACGAAAUCAUUAGCCACUGCUCUCAUUGUGGCCUAUUAAGAGAAAAAAUCACCGGAGGUACAACGCCUACACCAGCUCCCCGCUUCAUCACCAUCGUCGCCGUGCUAUAGAGAUGAAGAUAUAGUCCACCCCUCUCAACACCCUCGGUUGAAUGUGAAGUUGUUGCCCAUACAUUGACAUAUAAACUACAAACAAGUUUAGAGAAGGGGCAGCUGAUUGGGAUGAAAAUUGGGACAAGUUUGAAGAUGAAGGGAAUCUGAAGCCAAGAUGUGCAAGUUGUAGUUGUAUUAUAAUUUUGAUGAACUCUUGCCACUUUCGAGUUUCACAUUUGUCAGAGAGCUCACUCUUGAUGUGGAAAAUGUUGUAGCUCCUCUUCAGUUGUUAGUAAAGCAUCUUCCACAAAAGAGGGUACAUGUUUCAUCAACAAAUGCUGAUCAUAACUCAGAAAGGCCACCAAGUGGAGGGGAAAGAAUUGCCGAUGAUGCUCAUAGCGAAGACAACGCAGAACUUUAGUGUAGAUGGUUCAUCGCAUGCUAGAGAGACCUAGAGGUAUAGGUUUUAAUUUGCAUCUUUCUUGUAUUUUCCUUCUGCGUUGGAUUUGAAAUUUUUUAUUAAUGUCCGAACCUUUAAACCAUUGCACGACAUCUAUCUACACCAAUUGUUUUAUUUGAAAAUCUGAAUUUCUACAUGAUGUUGUUGAUGAAUGAAACUAGGGUGCAUUUGACGCUCAUUCUAAUACCGACUUAGGCUAGGACUUCAGUUCUGAUCCUAUAAAGGUAUAUGAAUACUUCUUGAUUUGAGUGGCAAUCCAGUUUGCUCUGUGCAUUAAUUAGAGAUGCAGUGCAGCCAUGCAUGAUGCAUGUGAAGUUUUGAUCCAUAUCCCUUCGAUCAUUCAGUCUCUCUUUUCUUUGGCGUUGUCCAUGAGAAUCCUUUUUCCAGAAUUUUUGGUUUAAUGUUCUUUUGUAGAUCAUUUUUU
This is a non-coding RNA of Camellia sinensis, 1098 nucleotides long. NCBI's taxonomy places the organism in Eukaryota, Viridiplantae, Streptophyta, Magnoliopsida, Ericales, Theaceae. The record is from RefSeq and is a predicted model, not a curated record.